This is a non-coding RNA of Nematostella vectensis (starlet sea anemone), 74 nucleotides long. NCBI's taxonomy places the organism in Eukaryota, Metazoa, Cnidaria, Anthozoa, Actiniaria, Edwardsiidae. The record is from Rfam.
GUCUCUGUGGCGCAAUCGGUUAGCGCGUUGGGCUGUUAACCGAAAGGUUGGUGGUUCAAGCCUACCUAGGGCUU